Molecule: long non-coding RNA, 355 nt
Organism: Acipenser ruthenus (sterlet)
Lineage: Eukaryota; Metazoa; Chordata; Actinopteri; Acipenseriformes; Acipenseridae
Exons: 3
Source: RefSeq, a predicted model, not a curated record
GCUCCUGGAAGGUGUAGGUCACUGAGGAGCCGGCUUCAAAGAGGAGAGAAACCUCUGAAAGAGAAGAGAGAAAGAGAGAUAAGCUGGGUUUUCCGUAAUGUCAAACCACAAGUCUGGUGAGAGAAACAGAGAAUCCAGCUGAACUGUAAGAACAGCAUGGACGGUGCUCACUUGGCCUCUUUGCAUAGCCUGGUGGAGAAUAUGUUCCUCAUGGACCUGAUCCAGGCUCACAACAAGAGCAUGCCUGUGUCCUGGCUAGGAGGCAAUGACAAGAAAGACUCCGGACUUGGCGGUAGUUUUAAAGUAGAAGGAGAUGUCGGCACUGAGCUCUGCGUGGAACGUGGGGAAGUGGAGG